Sciurus vulgaris (Eurasian red squirrel) is the source of this 103-nucleotide small nuclear RNA. NCBI's taxonomy places the organism in Eukaryota, Metazoa, Chordata, Mammalia, Rodentia, Sciuridae. The record is from Ensembl.
GUGCUCACUUUGGCAGCUAUUCUAAACUUGGAAUGAUACAGACAAGAUUAGCAUGGUCCCUUUGCAAAUAUGACAUGCAAUUCCUGAAGUGUUCCAUAUAUUG